AAACCAGCACCUCAAGUGGUCAGGAUGAUUAUUGGGCCUAAAGCAUCCGUAGCCGGCUCUGUAAGUUUUCGGUUAAAUCUGUAUGCUCAACAUACAGGCUGCCGGGAAUACUGCAGAGCUAGGGAGUGGGAGAGGUAGACGGUACUCGGGAGGAAGUGGUAAAAUGCUUUGAUCUCUCGAUGACCACCUGUGGCGAAGGCGGUCUACCAGAACACGUCCGACGGUGAGGGAUGAAAGCUGGGGGAGCAAACCGGAUUAGAAACCCCAGUAGUCC
RNAcentral lists this ribosomal RNA (274 nucleotides) under uncultured bacterium. Its description in RNAcentral is "partial 16S ribosomal RNA". It matches the Rfam family "Archaeal small subunit ribosomal RNA", at positions 473 to 747 of the family's 1478-position model. The record is from RNAcentral.